Molecule: ribosomal RNA, 435 nt
Filed under: uncultured bacterium
Lineage: Bacteria
Description: partial 16S ribosomal RNA
Rfam family: Bacterial small subunit ribosomal RNA
Source: RNAcentral
AACGAACGCUGGCGGCAUGCCUAACACAUGCAAGUCGAACGAUUGCCUUCGGGUGAUAGUGGCGCACGGGUGCGUAACGCGUGGGAAUCUGCCCUUAGGUUCGGAAUAACAGCUGGAAACGGCUGCUAAUACCGGAUGAUAUCGCGAGAUCAAAGAUUUAUCGCCUGAGGAUGCGCCCGCGUUGGAUUAGGUAGUUGGUGGGGUAAAGGCCUACCAAGCCGACGAUCCAUAGCUGGUCUGAGAGGAUGAUCAGCCACACUGGGACUGAGACACGGCCCAGACUCCUACGGGAGGCAGCAGUGGGGAAUAUUGGACAAUGGGCGCAAGCCUGAUCCAGCAAUGCCGCGUGAGUGAUGAAGGCCCUAGGGUUGUAAAGCUCUUUUACCCGGGAAGAUAAUGACUGUACCGAGAGAAUAAGCCCCGGCUAACUCCGUG